This 752-nucleotide ribosomal RNA is filed under the name fungal sp. RNAcentral's name for it is "eukaryotic LSU rRNA". The stretch from base 531 to 752 matches the Rfam family "Eukaryotic large subunit ribosomal RNA", at positions 1 to 221 of the family's 3401-position model. The record is from RNAcentral. Lineage: Eukaryota; Fungi.
CUGCGGAAGGAUCAUUACCGAGUGCGGGUUCGAACGAGCCCAACCUCCCACCCGUGUUUACUGUUACCGCGUUGCCUCGGCGGGCCCACUGGGGCCUGGCCCCGGUCGCCGGGGGGCUUCUGCCCCCGGGCCCGCUCCCGCCGAAGCACCCUAGAACCCUGCCUGAACAGUGAGUCUGAGUGAGAUUUUAAAUCAUUAAAACUUUCAACAACGGAUCUCUUGGUUCCGGCAUCGAUGAAGAACGCAGCGAAAUGCGAUAAGUAAUGUGAAUUGCAGAAUUCCGUGAAUCAUCGAAUCUUUGAACGCACAUUGCGCCCCCUGGCAUUCCGGGGGGCAUGCCUGUCCGAGCGUCAUUUCUGCCCUCCAGCACGGCUGGGUUUGGGCGCUGUCCCCCCGGGGACACGCCCCAAAAGCAGUGGCGGCGCCGCGUCGGGUCCUCGAGCGUAUGGGGCUCUGUCACCCGCUCGGGAGGGACUCGGUCGGCGCUGGUCUUCCCUUUAGGCCGCCCUUCGGGGUGCGCCUCUUCCGGUUGACCUCGGAUCAGGUAGGGCUACCCGCUGAACUUAAGCAUAUCAAUAAGCGGAGGAAAAGAAACCAACAGGGAUUGCCUCAGUAACGGCGAGUGAAGCGGCAAGAGCUCAAAUUUGAAAUCUGGCUCCUUCGGGGCCCGAGUUGUAAUUUUGGAGAGGAUGCUUCGGGCGUGGCCCCUAUCUAAGUGCCCUGGAACGGGCCGUCAUAGAGGGUGAGAAUCC